This 490-nucleotide ribosomal RNA is filed under the name uncultured bacterium. Its description in RNAcentral is "partial 16S ribosomal RNA". It matches the Rfam family "Bacterial small subunit ribosomal RNA", at positions 30 to 507 of the family's 1533-position model. The record is from RNAcentral.
AUUGAACGCUGGCGGCAGGCCUAACACAUGCAAGUCGAACGGUAACAGGAAGAAGCUUGCUUCUUUGCUGACGAGUGGCGGACGGGUGAGUAAUGUCUGGGAAACUGCCUGAUGGAGGGGGAUAACUACUGGAAACGGUAGCUAAUACCGCAUAACGUCGCAAGACCAAAGAGGGGGACCUUCGGGCCUCUUGCCAUCGGAUGUGCCCAGAUGGGAUUAGCUAGUAGGUGGGGUAACGGCUCACCUAGGCGACGAUCCCUAGCUGGUCUGAGAGGAUGACCAGCCACACUGGAACUGAGACACGGUCCAGACUCCUACGGGAGGCAGCAGUGGGGAAUAUUGCGCAAUGGGCGCAAGCCUGAUGCAGCCAUGCCGCGUGUAUGAUGAAGGCCUUCGGGUUGUAAAGUACUUUCAGCGGGGAGGAAGGGAGGAGAGUUAAUACCUUUGCUUAUUGACGGUACCCGCAGAAGAAGCACCGGCUAACUCCGUG